GACGAACGCUGGCGGCGUGCUUAACACAUGCAAGUCGAGCGGUAAGGCCCUUUCGGGGGUACACGAGCGGCGAACGGGUGAGUAACACGUGGGUGACCUGCCCUCAGCUCUGGGAUAAGCCUGGGAAACCGGGUCUAAUACCGGAUAUGACUCCAUGACGCAUGUUGUGGGGUGGAAAGCCUUGUGCGGCUGAGGAUGGGCCCGCGGCCUAUCAGCUUGUUGGGUGGGGUGAUGGCCUACCAAGGCGACGACGGGUAGCCGGCCUGAGAGGGCGACCGGCCACACUGGGACUGCGACACGGCCCAGACUCCGUACGGGAGGCAGCAGGUGGGGAAUAUUGCGCAA
This 345-nucleotide ribosomal RNA is filed under the name uncultured bacterium. Its description in RNAcentral is "bacterial SSU rRNA". It matches the Rfam family "Bacterial small subunit ribosomal RNA", at positions 28 to 371 of the family's 1533-position model. The record is from RNAcentral.